CACAGUAUUUAAAAGAAAAAAAAAUUGGUAGUCCCACCACUGGGAGAUACCACAAUUAACAUCUUAGAGGAUGUCCUUCCGGAUCUUUUCCCAAUAGCAUUACCUUUUCACGAGCAUUUCCUAAGAACGGAACCGGGACCUAGAACCACUCACUGGAGGUGCUAGUUUAUGCAGGAGUCUGAGUUCCCUGGACGUCUUUCUCUUACCCAGAAAGCCCUGAUACGACCAGAUUUAAUUUGACCAUUUUUAGAAGUGCACGGAACAAUUAACGGCAAAUAAAUUGAAUUAAAAUCAAAUUGAAUGCAGCCUUUCAAUGAUAUGACUUAGAAUUUGAUUUUAAGUACCGUAAUGAAUACGAAAUGAAAGCUGGGCCUGGAAGGCUGGAAGGGCUCUUGGGCUUCGUGGGACCCGGAGUGCCACCUGCUGGCCGUGGUCUGCAAUGACAUCCACCACCCCUUCCUCUGACAGCAUGGACUUCCCGCUUGUAAACCCAAAAUAGGCUCCCUCUUUUUCUUCCAUGCGUUGAUAUCUCUCUCAAGAGCUUCCCAGACAUCUUUGCUCCCCUAGAGCAUUACAAAGUUGCUAGCACACAGGAGUAGUUUAAUAAAUAUUUUUUGAAUGAAUGAAUGAAUGAAAGGAUGGAUAGAUGGAUGGAUGAUGGAUGAUGGACGGAUGGAUGGACAAAAGGACGGAAGGGCAGUCUUGUGCGUCAUUGUGAAAUGAGAGAAUAAUCUCUGCCCUUCCCAUCUCACAGGCUUUUUUUGCAUUUUUUUUGUUUUCUCUUCUCUCGCUUUUGAUAAAAAUGAUGAUUUGAUACACAUAAACAUAGUGAAAUGAUUAUUAUUUGAGCUAACAUGCUAUCUCCUCAUAUAGUCAUUUUUUGUGAUGAAAGCUCUUGAAUUCUACUCUUCGCAUAUUUCCAGUAACUAUACAGUAUUAUUAACCACAGCCAUCGGGCUGGACACUAGCUCUCUAGACUUAAGUCACCCUACAUAACCACACUUCCGCCCCCUUUGACCUCAUCUCUCCACUCCCCCACCUCCCUGCCCUGGCAACCACCAGCCUGCUCUCUGCUUCUCUGUAUUCGACUUUUUUAGACUCCACACAAAAGUGAGUUGUGCAGUUUUCUUCUUUCCUCACAGGAUUUUUUUUUUUUUAGGAGAGUGAAUAAGAUAACCGUUGAGGGAAGCCAGAUGGAUGUGAAGGAUUAUGAUAACAACCCAACGCCAGGGGAUCAAGCAAACGUGAGGAGUCUUGAGCCAGACACUCACUAGGCAGCUGACAGUUUAGCUCGUUUCCAUUUCCUCUUCCUCCUUUAGGACCAGCUCGCUACUCCUUUCCACGGAAUCUGAGGAGCUGAGAUUCCUGGCCACGGAGAGUUGUCGCUUCCUGGGCUCACUCAGAGGUGAGGUGACGUUCCACGCUCGCUGUCAGUUUUGAAACAGGCAGUGUCACUGUGCUGCGGGUGUGACUUGGCCCGUCACAGCCCUCCUGCGUUAGGAAACAUGGUUUCUGAGCCAUCACUGUCGGGCUGCCUGAUGGCGAGGUGCCCAUCUGAGCGUGUCCCCUGUUGACAGCGCUUGACAAGCAUCGUGCCGGUCUUGCUUUUAGAUGCUGCACAGCAGGAGCUCUGGUCUGCAUAACGCGGCACGAUGAAGCGGAAAGAGUAUGGACAAGGGGGCAGAAAGCUGGGCUCUGCCACCCGCCAGCUAGGGGACCUUGAGCAAGUCGGCUUGCCCUUGCCGGUACGUAAACCAUCUCGUUGGGACAGUGCAACAAGAUGGUGCCUGGGAAAACGCUUUGUAAACUGAAGUCCUAGACCAAAUGAACAUCACGCCCCAG
This 1842-nucleotide long non-coding RNA is filed under the name Equus caballus (horse). RNAcentral describes it as "lncRNA (ENSECAG00000048763.1)". Lineage: Eukaryota; Metazoa; Chordata; Mammalia; Perissodactyla; Equidae. The record is from RNAcentral.